GUGCCGGCUCACGAACAGGAUGCAGCCAGCUUCUUGGAACCUUGGGCACGGACUGCUAGAAAAUGGACCUGACCAGGAGACGCCCGCCACACACAGCCUUUGUCUUUCUGAGAGAACUGAUGGGAGGCCGCACAAGCUACUCAGGAAGCUGAGGUCCCAGAACAAGAAGAACUGGAGGAAGCUGGAUGGUGAGACUGGGAAGCACUUUAGUCAUUCAUUAAAUUGUUGCUGUUCUCAAGUUCGAUCUCCCACAGGAUUUCUGUUAUAGUUCCCUAACACAUCUGAUGAUAGCUGUCCUUCCCUAUACUCAAAGAUAGACACUGGUGUGUAUAGAUGUCACUCGUGGGCUCACUUCUGGAACCGACCUUCCCUCAGGAAGGACACCUGAUCGCCCAUGCCUUCCCGCCCAGGACCCUACCACACCUGUGCUGUGAGCUUCUUUGUCCUAACUCCCAAGCCCCCCAGCUUUAAAAGCUGUCUGACUGGCAUUCAUCAGUGGAAUCAAAAGUUCAGAUGUCAAGGACGCCAGACAGCACCCAGCAACCGCGGAGCAACACACGUGAAGUCUAGCUUCCUAACGCAAGUCUUUCUGCCACUAGCUAGAACACUUUAUGACACCGCCUGUCCCAGAAGUUCUGUGGGGCAGACAUGAAGGUAGAGGACUCUGGCCUCCACUGCUGAUGUGCUCUCACACACCUUUGAUCUUCUCUAGAACCUUCUAUCAGGUUUGCUUCUUCCCGAGGAAUAUCCUCUGGCUUCUUGCCAGCAAUCUGUCUCGAUGCUAUGGACUAAACUGCCCGUUAGCAAUUAGUCUGGACUUUAGUUGUUUUCGAAAGAUGAAUUGAGACGUAAUUUUCUAAUUAACAGUGGUUGUCAAAUAAAGGGGGACAAAGUCU
Molecule: long non-coding RNA, 896 nt
Filed under: Mus pahari (shrew mouse)
Lineage: Eukaryota; Metazoa; Chordata; Mammalia; Rodentia; Muridae
Description: lncRNA (MGP_PahariEiJ_G0003418.1)
Source: RNAcentral